Molecule: ribosomal RNA, 405 nt
Filed under: Rhizobiaceae bacterium
Lineage: Bacteria; Pseudomonadati; Pseudomonadota; Alphaproteobacteria; Hyphomicrobiales; Rhizobiaceae
Description: bacterial SSU rRNA
Rfam family: Bacterial small subunit ribosomal RNA
Source: RNAcentral
AGUUGGGCACUUUAGCGAGACUGCCGGUGACAAACCGGAGGAAGGUGGGGAUGACGUCAAGUCCUCAUGGCCCUUAUGGGUAGGGCUUCACACGUCAUACAAUGGUCGGUACAGAGGGUUGCCAACCCGCGAGGGGGAGCCAAUCCCAGAAAGCCGAUCGUAGUCCGGAUUGGAGUCUGCAACUCGACUCCAUGAAGUCGGAAUCGCUAGUAAUCGUGGAUCAGCAUGCCACGGUGAAUACGUUCCCGGGUCUUGUACACACCGCCCGUCACACCAUGGGAGUGGGUUUCACCAGAAGCAGGUAGCCUAACCGCGAGGGGGGCGCUUGCCACGGUGAGAUUCAUGACUGGGGUGAAGUCGUAACAAGGUAGCCGUAUCGGAAGGUGCGGCUGGAUCACCUCCUUU